AUUGAACGCUAGCGGGAUGCUUUACACAUGACAGUCGAACGAGUGGCGGACGGGUGAGUAAUAUAUCGGAACGUGCACAGUAGCGGGGGAUAACUACUAGAAAGAGUGGCUAAUACCGCAUACUAUUGGGACGGCAGCUAGCGGAUUAGCUAGUUGGUGGGGUAAAGUCGAACAAAGGCAAAGAUACGUAGCUGGUUUUAGAGGAAGACCAGCCACACUGGGACUGCGACACGGCCACGACUCCUACGGGAGUCAGCAGUGGGGAAUUUUGGACAAUGGGGUAACCCCUGAUCCAGCCAUCCCGCGUGUAUGAGAAGUCCUUCGUGUUGUAAAGUACUUUUGGCAGAGAAGCGGUAUCUGCAUAAUAAGCACCGGCUAACUACGUGCCAGCAGCCGCGGUAAUUC
Molecule: ribosomal RNA, 405 nt
Filed under: uncultured bacterium
Lineage: Bacteria
Description: partial 16S ribosomal RNA
Rfam family: Bacterial small subunit ribosomal RNA
Source: RNAcentral